This 321-nucleotide long non-coding RNA is filed under the name Mytilus galloprovincialis (Mediterranean mussel). Lineage: Eukaryota; Metazoa; Mollusca; Bivalvia; Mytilida; Mytilidae. The record is from RNAcentral.
AUUGAAAACACUUACACAAUUUUUCUGUUUAAUGUUGUAGUAGGAAAUAGUGUUUUGUGACCCAAUUUUUUCUCUUGUUAUUCUGAAAGCAGAUUUGAAAAGUGAGAGGCAAAAAAUAUCAAAGGGACAAUCAAUCUCAUAAAUUGAAAAGACUGACAAUGCCAUGGUUUCAAAAGAAAAAACAAAAACAUACGGACAUUAGUACACAUAACACAAACCAAAAAAACACUUAAGACUGAGCAACAUAAACCUCACCUAUAACUGGGAGUUAUCUCAGUCGCGCCGGACAGGGAAGCAAUUUCUGUUCCACAUUUUGCACCC